Molecule: non-coding RNA, 29 nt
Filed under: Mus musculus (house mouse)
Lineage: Eukaryota; Metazoa; Chordata; Mammalia; Rodentia; Muridae
Source: RNAcentral
UGGGGAAAUCGGUCAUUCAAGCUCAAGGG